RNAcentral lists this ribosomal RNA (102 nucleotides) under Vibrio vulnificus. RNAcentral's name for it is "partial 16S ribosomal RNA". It matches the Rfam family "Bacterial small subunit ribosomal RNA", at positions 1441 to 1533 of the family's 1533-position model. The record is from RNAcentral. Lineage: Bacteria; Pseudomonadati; Pseudomonadota; Gammaproteobacteria; Vibrionales; Vibrionaceae.
UUCGGGAGGACGCUCACCACUUUGUGGUUCAUGACUGGGGUGAAGUCGUAACAAGGUAGCGCUAGGGGAACCUGGCGCUGGAUCACCUCCUUAUACGAUGAU